RNAcentral lists this ribosomal RNA (510 nucleotides) under uncultured methanogenic archaeon. Its description in RNAcentral is "bacterial SSU rRNA". It matches the Rfam family "Archaeal small subunit ribosomal RNA", at positions 28 to 546 of the family's 1478-position model. Lineage: Archaea; Methanobacteriati; Methanobacteriota. The record is from RNAcentral.
UGCUAUCGGGGUUCGAUUAAGCCAUGCGAGUCGAGAGGUGAAAGACCUCGGCAUACUGCUCAGUAACACGUGGACAAUCUACCCUAAGGAGGGGGAUAACCCCGGGAAACUGGGGAUAAUACCCCAUAGGUUACAGAUGCUGGAAUGCACUGUAGCUCAAAGGUCCGCCGCCUUAGGAUGAGUCUGCGGCCGAUUAGGUUGUUGUUGGGGUAACGGCCCAACAAGCCUUUGAUCGGUACGGGUUGUGAGAGCAAGAGCCCGGAGAUGGAUUCUGAGACACGAAUCCAGGCCCUACGGGGCGCAGCAGGCGCGAAAACUUUACAAUGCGGGAAACCGUGAUAAGGGAACCCCGAGUGCCCGUAAAUUCGGGCUGUCCACCAGUGCAAAUAACUGGUGAAGAAAGGGCCGGGCAAGACCGGUGCCAGCCGCCGCGGUAAUACCGGCGGCUCGAGUGGUGGCCACUAUUACUGGGCUUAAAGCGUCCGUAGCUGGACUGUUAAGUCUCCUGGG